RNAcentral lists this non-coding RNA (200 nucleotides) under Oscillospiraceae bacterium. Its description in RNAcentral is "6S RNA". It matches the Rfam family "6S / SsrS RNA". From Rfam's summary of the family: E. coli 6S RNA was the first non coding RNA to be sequenced, but its function was unknown until recently. It consists of 184 nucleotides that fold into an extended hairpin structure with a large single-stranded internal bulge. The record is from RNAcentral. Lineage: Bacteria; Bacillati; Bacillota; Clostridia; Eubacteriales; Oscillospiraceae.
UUUUGCCUGCUUGGUGCGUGACGUAUCCUUUUGGACCCACAUUUUUUUAUUGGGAUGCCAGACUUCAUGGCUGGUGUGCAGACCUCCCGCCUGCGCUUUGACGUACGGUGGACGUUGGGAGCUAGUAAGGUCAUGAGCAGCAACCCACCUGCCAUUCGUGCAGGUCAUAAUUGGAUGCGCACGGCCAAAGCGGGUCUUAA